AUUGAACGCUGGCGGCAUGCUUUACACAUGCAAGUCGAACGGCAGCGCGGGCUUCGGCCUGGCGGCGAGUGGCGAACGGGUGAGUAAUGCGUCGGAACGUGCCCAGUAGUGGGGGAUAGCCCGGCGAAAGCCGGAUUAAUACCGCAUACGACCUGAGGGUGAAAGCGGGGGACCGAAAGGCCUCGCGCUAUUGUAGCGGCCGACGUCGGAUUAGCUAGUUGGUGGGGUAAAGGCUUACCAAGGCGACGAUCCGUAGCUGGUCUGAGAGGACGACCAGCCACACUGGGACUGAGACACGGCCCAGACUCCUACGGGAGGCAGCAGUGGGGAAUUUUGGACAAUGGGGGCAACCCUGAUCCAGCCAUGCCGCGUGCGGGAAGAAGGCCUUCGGGUUGUAAACCGCUUUUGUUCGGGAAGAAAUCCUCUGGGCUAAUACCCCGGGGGGAUGACGGUACCGGAAGAAUAAGCACCGGCUAACUACGUG
RNAcentral lists this ribosomal RNA (484 nucleotides) under uncultured bacterium. Its description in RNAcentral is "partial 16S ribosomal RNA". It matches the Rfam family "Bacterial small subunit ribosomal RNA", at positions 28 to 507 of the family's 1533-position model. The record is from RNAcentral.